AGUGAACGCUGGCGGUAGGCCUAACACAUGCAAGUCGAACGGCAGCACAGUAAGAGCUUGCUCUUACGGGUGGCGAGUGGCGGACGGGUGAGGUAUACAUCGGACUCUACUUUUUCGUGGGGGAUAACGUAGGGAAACCUACGAUAAUACCGAAUAUGAUCUACGGGUGAAAGCAGGGGAUCUUUGGACCUUGCGCGAUUGAAUGAGCCGCUGUCGUAUUAGCUAGUUGGCGGGGUAAAGGCCCACCAAGGCGACGAUACGUAGCUGGUCUGAGAGGAUGAUCGGCCACACUGGAACUGAGACACGGUCCAGACGCCUACGGGAGGCAGCAGUAGGGAAUAUUGGGCAAUGGGCGCAAGCCUGAUCCAGCCAUACCGCGUGGGUGAAGAAGGCCUUCGGGUUGUAAAGCCCUUUUGUUGGGAAAGAAAAGCAGCAGGUUAAUACCCCGCUGUUCUGACGGUACCCAAAGAAUAAGCACCGGCUAACUUCGUG
Molecule: ribosomal RNA, 492 nt
Filed under: uncultured bacterium
Lineage: Bacteria
Description: partial 16S ribosomal RNA
Rfam family: Bacterial small subunit ribosomal RNA
Source: RNAcentral